Long non-coding RNA from Pipra filicauda (Wire-tailed manakin), 1376 nucleotides. RefSeq lists it as uncharacterized. The transcript is spliced from 4 exons. Lineage: Eukaryota; Metazoa; Chordata; Aves; Passeriformes; Pipridae. The record is from RefSeq and is a predicted model, not a curated record.
UUUUCAUCCUGUUCCUACCCCCAGGAGCUGGAGGAGGACCCCUGUAUACAUCUGAACCCUUAACGAUUUGCAUGUCCAUCCCGGCAUAUUGUGGGCACAAUUAGAUCACAAGGACUGCAGACUAAGAUGGUUCAGUGAACAUUUAAAGGCAGAGGCAAAUUUAGGAAGGAGAGCAAAUGCUGUAGUGCCAGUUACAGCAGUUUGGCAUACAGUAAGUUUACAGUGUUUGCAAGCAAAGGGAGAGAAAUCUGCUUGUCAUUUUCUGUGAUAAUUUUUGCUAAAAUCCAAGUAAUUGUGCAUGAUAACAAAAAGGAACAAUUAACACAGUUUGUACUUUGCAAAGGUGAGAAAGGGAUAGCUGUCAACAGGAUGUGGAUGAAAGCACCAGUAACUCAUUUGGAAAAGAUCUAGCACCAGAAUAAAUGUACAACAGCUUACCAGGCUGAGAGAGGACAGGAUCUGCUGGUCUGAACGAUGGUUUGAUCUGUUACGAUGGGAGUGAAGUCUUCAGUUUGAAAAAUAUUAUUCUGCUUCCUGGGUCUGCAAAAGACAGGACCAGACUGCAAGGGAAAGCCUGGAGAGGAUUUCCAUGCUUUAAAAAGAGAAACAGGGGAAGACUGAAUUUCCUGAGGUCACUGAGGAAACGCAUGGCAGUGCUAGGAAAAGAAGCACUCGAGCAGCCGAGAUACCAUAUUCACAGCCAAAACCAGAUGGGUUUUCUCUGCAGUGUGACAUAACAGCAAAGACAGAGCAGUUUAACCAUUCCGGUGCAGUGAACAACUUCCGCGCUGCUGUGAGCUUGACUCCUAGCCUCAAGAUCUCACCCUCCCUAGUGUUGUCUGGAUAUCAAUUUUUUUCAACCCCCAGUCCUUCCUCACAGAUCCACAAAUAUUAUCGAGCUCUUCCUCUGUUAUGUCCUCAACUGGGCGCACAACGUGUGGAAAAGCCAUGGCACCACGGUGACCCCUCCUGGGAGAUUGGGCUUCAUGCUGAUUAGCAAAGACACAAUACUUUUAGUACUAGUUUCAGUAAAAACUCUACAAAGGCGAGGAUUUUCACAGCAAUGCCAAAGCCGUAAACACCCAUCAUUUUAAACAAGAUAUAACAGAAGUCUGCACAGACAUAUGAUAUGAAUGCAGCUUCAGCACGUUCACUGAUCACCUUAAAGGUGCAGAGAUGCUACUGAUCUUGUGUAAUUCCUGCUAGAGUGCAAGAGGAAGUGAUUUUUCAAGGAUAAGGGAGGGAAAAUGGAGAACACAUACAAUAUGUUAUUUUUUGUACUUCUUCCAAGGCCAUGGCAUACUGAUAAACCUCAUCAACUCUGUAGGAAUUGCUAUUGUCUGGAAGGAAUAAAAAACCACCUUCACAACCCACAA